GCUGGGCUAGCUCAGUCGGUAGAGCAUGAGACUCUUAAUCUCAGGGUUGUGGGUUCAAGCCCCAUGUUGGGCA
Molecule: transfer RNA, 73 nt
Filed under: Cricetulus griseus (Chinese hamster)
Lineage: Eukaryota; Metazoa; Chordata; Mammalia; Rodentia; Cricetidae
Rfam family: tRNA
About the family: Transfer RNA (tRNA) molecules are approximately 80 nucleotides in length. Their secondary structure includes four short double-helical elements and three loops (D, anti-codon, and T loops).
Source: Rfam by way of RNAcentral